CACCUAUCCGAGGGGGGCCCUGCCGAGAGGGCUGAGAUACCGACAGGCAGAUUGCCGGCGCGGUGACCCUUGAACCUGAUCCGGGUCAUGCCGGCGGAGGGACGGAUCUUGCGCAACCA
Molecule: non-coding RNA, 119 nt
Filed under: Pseudomonadota bacterium
Lineage: Bacteria; Pseudomonadati; Pseudomonadota
Description: Proteobacteria bacterium TPP sequence
Rfam family: TPP riboswitch aptamer (THI element)
About the family: Vitamin B(1) in its active form thiamin pyrophosphate (TPP) is an essential coenzyme that is synthesised by coupling of pyrimidine and thiazole moieties in bacteria. The previously detected thiamin-regulatory element, thi box was extended, resulting in a new, highly conserved RNA secondary structure, the THI element, which is widely distributed in eubacteria and also occurs in some archaea.
Source: RNAcentral